AACGAACGCUGGCGGCAUGCCUAACACAUGCAAGUCGAACGAGACCUUCGGGUCUAGUGGCGCACGGGUGCGUAACGCGUGGGAACCUGCCCUUAGGUUCGGAAUAACUCCCCGAAAGGGGUGCUAAUACCGGAUAAUGUCUUCGGACCAAAGAUUUAUCGCCUUUGGAUGGGCCCGCGUUGGAUUAGCUAGUUGGUAGGGUAAAAGCCUACCAAGGCGAGGAUCCAUAGCUGGUCAGAGAGGAUGAUCAGCCACACUGGGACUGAGACACGGCCCAGACUCCUACGGGAGGCAGCAGUGGGGGAUAUUGGAAAGUGGGCGGAAGCAUGAUCCAGCAAUGCCGCGUGAGUGAUGAAGGCCUUAGAGUUGUAAAGCUCUAUUACCCGGGAUGAUAAUGACAGUACCGGGAGAAUAAGCUCCGGCUAACUCCGUG
RNAcentral lists this ribosomal RNA (433 nucleotides) under uncultured bacterium. RNAcentral describes it as "partial 16S ribosomal RNA". It matches the Rfam family "Bacterial small subunit ribosomal RNA", at positions 29 to 507 of the family's 1533-position model. The record is from RNAcentral.